Molecule: ribosomal RNA, 1030 nt
Filed under: uncultured bacterium
Lineage: Bacteria
Description: bacterial SSU rRNA
Rfam family: Bacterial small subunit ribosomal RNA
Source: RNAcentral
AGAGUUUGAUCAUGGCUCAGGACGAACGCUGGCGGCGUGCUUAACACAUGCAAGUCGAGGGCGGUAGCAAUACCGACCGGCAGACGGGUGCGUAACACGUGAGCGACCUGCCUGGAUGCGGGGGAUAGCCGGCCCAACGGCCGGGUAAUACCGCAUACGUUCUCGGGGCUUCAUGGUCCUGAGAGGAAACCCUUCGGGGGCAUUCAGAGGGGCUCGCGGCCUAUCAGCUAGUUGGUGCGGUAACGGCGCACCAAGGCGACGACGGGUAGCUGGUCUGAGAGGAUGGCCAGCCACAUUGGGACUGAGAGACGGCCCAGACUCCUACGGGAGGCAGCAGUGGGGAAUCUUGCGCAAUGGCCGAAAGGCUGACGCAGCGACGCCGCGUGUGGGAGGACGCCCUUCGGGGUGUAAACCACUGUUGCCCGGGACGAAUGCCCUGUUUCGGCGGGGUUGACGGUACCGGGUGAGGAAGCGCCGGCUAACUCCGUGCCAGCAGCCGCGGUAAUACGGAGGGCGCGAGCGUUGUCCGGAAUCACUGGGCGUAAAGGGCGCGUAGGCGGCCGCGGUAAGGCUCGCGUGAAAGCCCGGGGCUCAACCCCGGGUCGGCGCGGGCGACUGCCGGGCUGGAGCACGGUAGGGGCAGACGGAAUUCCGGGUGUAGCGGUGGAAUGCGUAGAGAUCCGGAAGAACACCGGUGGCGAAGGCGGUCUGCUGGGCCGGAAUAGGGGACAGCAAUGUCUCCUAGUGCUGACGCUGAGGCGCGACAGCGUGGGGAGCAAACAGGAUUAGAUACCCUGGUAGUCCACGCCGUAAACGAUGGGCACUAGGUGCCCGGGGGAGCGACCCUCCGGGUGCCGGCGCUAACGCAUUAAGUGCCCCGCCUGGGGAGUACGGCCGCAAGGCUGAACUCAAGGAUUGACGAUCGUCGACCUGCAGCAUGCAAGCUUGCACUGUCGUCGUUUACACGUCGUGACUGGGAAACCCUGCGUACCCACUAAUCGCCUGCAGCACAUCCCCCUUUCGCCAGCUG